UAGGGAAUCUACGGCAAUGGACGAAAGUCUGACCGAGCAACGCCGCGUGAGUGAAGAAGGUUUUCGGAUCGUAAAACUCUGUUGUUAGAGAAGAACAAGGACGUUAGUAACUGAACGUCCCCUGACGGUAUCUAACCAGAAAGCCACGCCUAACUACGUGCCAGCAGCCGCGGUAAUACGUAGGUGGCAAGCGUUGUCCGGAUUUAUUGGGCGUAAAGCGAGCGCAGGCGGUUUCUUAAGUCUGAUGUGAAAGCCCCCGGCUCAACCGGGGAGGGUCAUUGGAAACUGGGAGACUUGAGUGCAGAAGAGGAGAGUGGAAUUCCAUGUGUAGCGAUGAAAUGCGUAGAUAUAUGGAGGAACACCAGUGGCGAAGGCGGCUCUCUGGUCUGUAACUGACGCUGAGGCUCGAAAGCGUGGGGAGCAAACAGG
RNAcentral lists this ribosomal RNA (429 nucleotides) under Gemmatimonadota bacterium. RNAcentral describes it as "Gemmatimonadetes bacterium partial 16S ribosomal RNA". It matches the Rfam family "Bacterial small subunit ribosomal RNA", at positions 355 to 776 of the family's 1533-position model. Lineage: Bacteria; Pseudomonadati; Gemmatimonadota. The record is from RNAcentral.